Molecule: ribosomal RNA, 469 nt
Filed under: uncultured bacterium
Lineage: Bacteria
Description: bacterial SSU rRNA
Rfam family: Bacterial small subunit ribosomal RNA
Source: RNAcentral
CUGCCAGACUCCUACGGGAGGCAGCAGUGAGGAAUAUUGGUCAAUGGCCGGGAGGCUGAACCAGCCAAGUCGCGUGAGGGAAGACGGCCCUACGGGUUGUAAACCUCUUUUGUCAGGGAGCAAGGUGCAGGUCGGGACCUGCUGUGAGAGUACCUGAAGAAAAAGCAUCGGCUAACUCCGUGCCAGCAGCCGCGGUAAUACGGAGGAUGCGAGCGUUAUCCGGAUUUAUUGGGUUUAAAGGGUGCGCAGGCGGCGUGUCAAGCAAGCGGUAAAAUAGCGGGGCUCAACCCCGUCGAGCCGUUUGAACUGGCGCGCUUGAGUUCAGGCGAGGUAGGCGGAAUUCGUGGUGUAGCGGUGAAAUGCAUAGAUAUCACGAAGAACUCCGAUUGCGAAGGCAGCUUACCAGUCUGCGACUGACGCUCAGGCACGAAAGUGUGGGUAUCGAACAGGAUUAGAUACCCCUGUAUAA